RNAcentral lists this ribosomal RNA (292 nucleotides) under uncultured bacterium. Its description in RNAcentral is "partial 16S ribosomal RNA". It matches the Rfam family "Bacterial small subunit ribosomal RNA", at positions 505 to 796 of the family's 1533-position model. The record is from RNAcentral.
GUGUCAGCCGCCGCGGUAAGACGAACCGUGCGAACGUUGUUCGGAAUCACUGGGCUUAAAGGGCGCGUAGGCGGGUCUUCAAGUUUGGGGUGAAAUCCUCCGGCUCAACCGGAGAACUGCCUCGAAUACUGAAGGUCUCGAGGGGGAUAGGGGCAUGCGGAACUACGGGUGGAGCGGUGAAAUGCGUUGAUAUCCGUAGGAACUCCGGUGGCGAAGGCGGCGUGCUGGAUCCCUUCUGACGCUGAGGCGCGAAAGCCAGGGGAGCAAACGGGAUUAGAUACCCCAGUAGUCC